This 492-nucleotide ribosomal RNA is filed under the name uncultured bacterium. RNAcentral describes it as "partial 16S ribosomal RNA". It matches the Rfam family "Bacterial small subunit ribosomal RNA", at positions 29 to 507 of the family's 1533-position model. The record is from RNAcentral.
AGUGAACGCUGGCGGUAGGCCUAACACAUGCAAGUCGAACGGCAGCACAGUAAGAGCUUGCUCUUACGGGUGGCGAGUGGCGGACGGGUGAGGAAUACAUCGGAAUCUAUUUUUUCGUGGGGGAUAACGUAGGGAAACUUACGCUAAUACCGCAUACGACCUACGGGUGGAAGCAGGGGAUCUUCGGACCUUGCGCGAAUGAAUGAGCCGAUGUCGGAUUAGUUAGUUGGCGGGGUAAAGGCCCACCAAGGCGACGAUCCGUAGCUGGCCUGCGUGGAGGUUCAGCCACACUGGAACUGGAACACGGUCCAGACUCCUACGGAGGGCAGCAGUGGGGAAUAUUGGCCAAUGGGCGCAAUCCUGAUCCAGCCAUACCGCGUGGGUGAAGAAGUCCUUCGGGUUUUAAAGCCCUUUUGUUGGGAAGGAAAAGCAGCAGGUUAAUACCCCGCUGUUCUGACGGUACCCAAAGAAUAAGCACCGGCUAACUUCGUG